AAAAUGAUCCACAGUCUAUUUCUCAUAAACUGUUCCGGUGACAUAUUUCUAGAGAAGCACUGGAAGAGUGUUGUGAGCCAGUCUGUCUGUGAUUAUUUCUUUGAAGCUCAGGAGAAAGCUGCUGAUGUUGAAAAUGUACCACCUGUCAUUUCAACACCUCACCACUACCUCAUCAGUAUCUACCGGGAUAAGCUCUUCUUUGUGUCUGUCAUACAGACUGAAGUGCCACCUCUCUUUGUUAUUGAGUUCCUACAUCGAGUUGCUGACACUUUUCAGGACUACUUUGGUGAGUGUUCGGAGGCUGCAAUUAAGGAUAAUGUGGUCAUAGUAUAUGAGCUCUUAGAAGAAAUGUUAGACAAUGGAUUUCCACUGGCAACUGAGUCUAACAUUUUGAAAGAACUGAUUAAACCACCAACAAUUCUACGUUCUGUUGUCAACUCUAUUACAGGCAGUAGUAAUGUUGGGGACACACUCCCCACUGGGCAACUGUCCAAUAUCCCAUGGCGCCGGGCAGGAGUAAAAUAUACAAACAACGAAGCCUAUUUUGAUGUCGUUGAAGAAAUAGAUGCAAUUAUAGAUAAAUCAGGAUCUACAGUCUUUGCAGAAAUUCAAGGGGUCAUUGAUGCUUGCAUUAAGCUAUCUGGAAUGCCUGAUCUCUCUCUCUCUUUCAUGAACCCAAGGCUUCUCGAUGAUGUCAGUUUCCACCCCUGCAUCCGAUUCAAGCGUUGGGAAUCUGAACGAGUUUUGUCAUUUAUUCCUCCAGAUGGAAAUUUCCGACUCAUAUCAUACCGCGUCAGCUCACAAAAUCUAGUGGCAAUACCAGUGUAUGUGAAACACAGUAUCAGCUUUAAGGAGAACAGUUCUUGUGGCAGAUUUGAUAUAACAAUUGGACCAAAGCAGAAUAUGGGGAAAACUAUUGAAGGAAUUACAGUAACAGUUCACAUGCCAAAAGUUGUGCUGAAUAUGAACCUGACACCAACACAAGGAAGCUAUACAUUUGAUCCAGUCACCAAGGUACUAACAUGGGAUGUGGGGAAAAUCACUCCACAAAAGCUUCCAAGUCUUAAAGGGCUGGUAAACUUACAGUCUGGAGCACCCAAGCCAGAAGAGAAUCCAAGCCUCAACAUACAGUUCAAGAUCCAGCAGCUUGCUAUUUCAGGCUUAAAAGUAAACCGCUUGGACAUGUAUGGGGAGAAGUAUAAGCCAUUUAAAGGAGUCAAAUAUGUCACGAAAGCUGGAAAGUUCCAAGUGAGGACAUGAGAAGAGGCCAAAAUUUCUCAACAAGAUCAAUUUGUUUCCAAGUGUCAUUACAAUUUACUAUUAGAACACCGUCCAUAACUGCACCGUACCAUUUUCCUUCUGUGCUGUCUUCUUAUAUCCAAGUAGAAUGUAUGCCAAGAGUCCCUUGCCUCUACCAAUUUCUGCUAAAAUGUCCAAGUAGACUUUUUCCUUCUACAAUUAAAUUAUUGUAUUUAUUAGUUUGAUAGAGUCCAAUAAAUUCUUUCAAUAACUCUGACUAUACUGUCAAUAAACAAAGAUGAAAGCAACAAGUUGAUUUUUUUUUUUUAAGCUUGACUGUUAAUUCAACGUUCUCAAGUGUUAGCAGGCCGAACAUGAUCAGUUUUUCUUCUGUAUCAUCACAUAUGAUGUAAAGGUUGCUACAAAGCACUUUCAUGUCCUCUUUUCCUUAACUUAGUAUGUUCACAGCCAUUCAGAAUUCCCUUCUUUAUCACUAGCAUCUACCAAUAGAAUAUUCAGUAUUAUUAGAAUAUUUACCAAGAACAGAGGUCCACUAAUCCCAUAAUAUUCCCUUUUUCCAGGUUCUGAAGGGACUAUACCCUAAGAGCAAAUGAAAUAGAUGUUUAGUUUCUGCAUGAUGAAGUACCCAUCAUUUUAUUCAGAGGGCAUUCAUCUGAUAGGUGCAUUCCUUAAAUGGUGCUACAGAACCACCCUUGGAAUAUGCUGGUCUUAUUGUCCAUAGAGGCAAAUGAUUUGUAAAAACAACUAACUAUAAUGCAGCCGAAAGGCAGCACCAGUGAACAUAUGGUAAAUAGAAAUGAGGCAGUGUUAGAGAUUGCUGAGCUAAUUAGUAGUCUUGGACAUUUCCCUUUAAUUCAAGCAGGUUGGAUUCUGCCUGUAUGGUUAGAAGCUUUUGUAGGUGAUAAAAGCAGUGAUAAAUGAGUUAGCAACACUAAGUAUCACCCUUUAAUGAUAACCUUUGCAGAUCUAAAAAAAUCAGGCAAAAACUGUUAUGUCACAGCUCUAUCCAAGAACCUACUAGUACUGUUUUGGUCAGGGCUUAAACAAGACGAGGAAUAUGUCUCCAAAAGCUAGCUCUGCCUCAAAGCCUUGGUGGGUCCUUGAGAGCCUUUCUAUACUGGAUUUUAGAAUACUAACAGUGGACCUGUGAUACUCCUGCAUAUUUAAUAACUUCCGCUUUUUAGGGGAUAGUGAUGGUCUCUCCUACUAGACUCUUCUAAGAUGAAAGACUACUUCAACCAUGAGUGAUCCAUAUUAUCUGGCUGCUUUCUGCCUUGUUAACCUUUGUCACUUCUAAUACAUAAUCCCCAAAGUUGUCCUUUAUCACACAGAUUCUUGUUAAGUAAAUAUACUACUGUUGAUUUCUACUUCUUCCACUUGGAUUAAAUAAAUAUCUUUAGUUUCCAGAUUUUGAGGAUUAGUUUUGUUGGCUAUUCUUCAAAAAUAAAGGAAAAACUUGACCUAAAAAUUCUUACUA
This is an RNA transcript of Sciurus carolinensis (gray squirrel), 2737 nucleotides long. It is a transcript of the gene named adaptor related protein complex 3 subunit mu 1, with no coding region annotated. Lineage: Eukaryota; Metazoa; Chordata; Mammalia; Rodentia; Sciuridae. The transcript has 9 exons. The record is from RefSeq and is a predicted model, not a curated record.